This 377-nucleotide unclassified non-coding RNA is filed under the name plant metagenome. RNAcentral describes it as "partial contains 5.8S ribosomal RNA, internal transcribed spacer 2, and large subunit ribosomal RNA". The stretch from base 1 to 104 matches the Rfam family "5.8S ribosomal RNA", at positions 51 to 154 of the family's 154-position model. The record is from RNAcentral.
AAAUGCGAUAAGUAAUGUGAAUUGCAGAAUUCAGUGAAUCAUCGAAUCUUUGAACGCACCUUGCGCUCCUUGGUAUUCCUUGGAGCAUGCCUGUCUGAGUAUCAUGAAAUCUUCAAAGUAAAUCUUUUGUUAACUCAAUUGGUUUCUACUUUGGUAUUGGAGGUCUUUGCAGCUUCACACCUGCUCCUCUUUGUUCAUUAGCUGGAUCUCAGUGUUAUGCUUGGUUCCACUCGGCGUGAUAAGUUAUCUAUCGCUGAGGACACUGUAAAAGGUGGCCAAGGUAAAUGCAGAUGAACCGCUUCUAAUAGUCCAUUGACUUGGACAAUACUUUUAUGAUCUGAUCUCAAAUCAGGUAUGACUACCCGCUGAACUUAAGC